Molecule: ribosomal RNA, 450 nt
Filed under: uncultured bacterium
Lineage: Bacteria
Description: bacterial SSU rRNA
Rfam family: Bacterial small subunit ribosomal RNA
Source: RNAcentral
UUUCCAGACUCCUACGGGAGGCAGCAGUCGGGAAUAUUGCGCAAUGGAGGAAACUCUGACGCAGUGACGCCGCGUAUAGGAAGAAGGUUUUCGGAUUGUAAACUAUUGUCAUUAGGGAAGAUAAAAGACUGUACCUAAGGAGGAAGCCCCGGCUAACUACGUGCCAGCAGCCGCGGUAAUACGUAGGGGGCAAGCGUUAUCCGGAUUUACUGGGUGUAAAGGGGGCGCAGACGGCAGCGCAAGCCAGGAGUGAAAGCCCGGGGCCCAACCCCGGGACUGCUCUUGGAACUGCGCGGCUGGAGUGCAGGAGGGGCAGGCGGAAUUCCUGGUGUAGCGGUGAAACGCGUAGAUAUCAGGAGGAACACCGGUGGCGAAGGCGGCCUGCUGGACUGCGACUGACGUUGAGGCCCGAAAGCGUGGGGAGCAAACAGGAUUAGAUACCCCAGUAGG